UUCCUUUUCCCCUUUCUUCUUUCUCUCCUAACCACAAAUAGAAGGGGAUGUCCCAUAAUGGAAUUACCGUUAUAAAAUGCCUCAAUUACUAUAAUGUUCUUGUACAGUCAUGCUCUGAUAAUACUGAGUGCUGUCACUGAAAAUGCUGAAGGAAAAUUUUAAAGGUUGCUCUUCCUUUUUACUUUAACAAGUCUCUAUCUGUAGAGAUUCCACAGUUGUUGUGACAACAGUUGGAGUGGAUCACUGCCUUGCAAAGAACCAUCACCUGAAUCAUCUCACUCCCAGGUUUUUCUUCUAGCCUUUUGCAUCAGAGAGCUCUUGUGAGGAAGAAAGGCUAGAGGUUUGGGUGAGAUGCGCUUUGAAUAACUUUAUUCUGAUGACAAAGAGAAUGCGUAUAACAUCAAACAAGACAAGAUGAAGC
Molecule: long non-coding RNA, 421 nt
Organism: Lagenorhynchus albirostris (white-beaked dolphin)
Lineage: Eukaryota; Metazoa; Chordata; Mammalia; Artiodactyla; Delphinidae
Exons: 3
Source: RefSeq, a predicted model, not a curated record